GCAUAAUUAUAAUUUAAAUUUUUUCAAUUUUCUGAUCAGAUACUAUGACACUCUAUUUAUCCUUCUGCUCACCCGUAAAUCCAGAUCAUAGCCAAUCAUAAGCAUCCUGUAACUCUGAGAAGAAAAAGAAAGAUAAAGGGGUGUGAGCUUUACAGCCCAGUAAGAAUUUUCAUAUCACACUGAUAUAGUAAUAUAGUCUGAAAAUAAGGAUAAGCAGUAAAAUAUAAAAUCUCAUGUUUAAUGUCCAGAAUAAUGCAAACAUUCAUAAAUUUUCUGUCUUGUUAAAAUAGAUGCAUCAUCAUAUGUUAACAGGUGAAACCUCUUUUAUUCAAUAAUUAUU
Molecule: long non-coding RNA, 340 nt
Filed under: Elaeis guineensis (African oil palm)
Lineage: Eukaryota; Viridiplantae; Streptophyta; Magnoliopsida; Arecales; Arecaceae
Description: long non-coding RNA (EGUI_LNC077192)
Source: RNAcentral